AAGUUAUCAAGAAAGGUGGAGGGAAUAGACCCUGUGAAGCCUUAGCAACCCUCAACUUUGAGAAGGUGCUAAAUUCUACCCCGUCCCAAAUUUAAAUUGGGACCUCUUGGCGGCAAAGACCGACCAUUGGGAAGGAUAACG
Molecule: non-coding RNA, 141 nt
Filed under: Flagellimonas lutaonensis
Lineage: Bacteria; Pseudomonadati; Bacteroidota; Flavobacteriia; Flavobacteriales; Flavobacteriaceae
Description: Muricauda lutaonensis SAM-I sequence
Rfam family: SAM riboswitch aptamer (S box leader)
About the family: The SAM riboswitch is found upstream of a number of genes which code for proteins involved in methionine or cysteine biosynthesis in Gram-positive bacteria.
Source: Rfam by way of RNAcentral